CAAUCUGAGUCGUGCCCUUCUCCUUGCAAGUGAGGCGGUUGAUCUCUGGAUUUUGGCCGGUGCCAAAGGCCUCAGAAGACUUAGAAGUCUGGUUGCUGUUUGCAAUGGUGGUUAGAGGCAUUUUGUAGUGUUUUUUGGUCGUCUUUCUUUGUCUAGGGCUUUUUCUGGAGUGGUUGUUUUUGUAGGGUGGUUUUUGUGUUUUAGUGUUCCUUUGCGUGUGUUGGUGUGAGUAUGGGGUGAUGUUGAACCUGUU
This 253-nucleotide long non-coding RNA is filed under the name Sorghum bicolor (sorghum). RNAcentral describes it as "long non-coding RNA (SBIC_LNC017136)". Lineage: Eukaryota; Viridiplantae; Streptophyta; Magnoliopsida; Poales; Poaceae. The record is from RNAcentral.